RNAcentral lists this ribosomal RNA (493 nucleotides) under Asterionellopsis glacialis. Its description in RNAcentral is "partial Bacterial large subunit ribosomal RNA". It matches the Rfam family "Bacterial large subunit ribosomal RNA", at positions 1692 to 2210 of the family's 2925-position model. The record is from RNAcentral. Lineage: Eukaryota; Bacillariophyta; Plagiogrammaphyceae; Rhaphoneidales; Asterionellopsidaceae.
GAGAUAACUCUCUCUAAGGAACUCGGCAAAAUAACCCCGUAACUUUGGGAGAAGGGGUACCCUAUGGGUUGCAAUAACAAGGUCCAAGCGACUGUUUAUCAAAAACACAGGUCCAUGCGAAGUCGUAAGACGAUGUAUAUGGACUGACUCCUGCCCGGUGCUGGAAGGUUAAGAGGAGGAGUGCAAGCUCUGAAUUGAAGCCCCAGUAAACGGCGGCCGUAACUAUAACGGUCCUAAGGUAGCGAAAUUCCUUGUCGUGUAAGUUCCGACCUGCACGAAUGGCGUAACGACUUCCCCGCUGUCUCCAACAUAGACUCAGUGAAAUUGAAUUCCCCGUGAAGAUGCGGGGUUCCUGCGGUCAGACGGAAAGACCCCGUGCACCUUUACUAUAGCUUCACACUGGCAUUCGCCAAGGCAUGUGUAGGAUAGGUGGUAGGCUUUGAAACUCUCACGCCAGUGGGGGUGGAGCCAUCCUUGAAAUACCACCCUUAUC